CGGGCAUACUCCGACACUGUCAUAUUUCCCUAGACCAAUUGAGCAAAUUCCAUUUCCUUUAGAUGUUGGAUGUGUUUAGGGAGAUACUCCGCAUGGAAGGCCGCUAGGAACUGCUCCCAAGUAACUAGUGCAGGCAGGGUGGCCCGCUUGAGCUCCCACCAGCGUACUGCUUCCCCUACCAGCAUGUAGGAGGCAAUGACAGCCCUCUGCUCAGGAACUACUCCCAAGGUCUCGAAAGCUCUCUCAGUCUCUGCCAGCCAGUAUUGGGCCUCUUCGAAAGAGGAUCCCCCUGAAAAAGUAGAAGGGUUCAGUCUUCUGUACCUCUCUAUGAAACCGGGGUCGAUCAAGGAAGGAGCGGGGUCCCGAGGUAGAGGGACUGGGGCCGGCGGAGGGUGAACUGGGGGACCCUAUGGUGGCGCCUGCUGAUGUGGUGGGGGCACUGGAAUGUGCUGUGGCGGCACCUGUUGGUACUGUGGCUGUGGUACCG
This 487-nucleotide long non-coding RNA is filed under the name Carica papaya (papaya). Its description in RNAcentral is "long non-coding RNA (CPAP_LNC005753)". The record is from RNAcentral. Lineage: Eukaryota; Viridiplantae; Streptophyta; Magnoliopsida; Brassicales; Caricaceae.